CCUACGCGUGGCUGCAGUGGGGAAUAUUGCACAAUGGGGGAAACCCUGAUGCAGCGACGCCGCGUGAGUGAAGAAGUAAUUCGUUACGUAAAGCUCUAUCAGCAGGGAAGAAAUACUUACCUUCCGGUCAGCAGACGGUACCUGAGUAAGAAUCCCCGGCUAACUACGUGCCAGCAGCCACGGUAAUACGUAGGGGGCAAGCGUUAUCCGGAUUUCCUGGGUGUAAGGGGAGCGUAGACGGUGCGCCAAGUCUGGAUUGAAAUGCCGCAGCUCAACUUCGGAACUGCUUUGGAAACUGGCGAAGUAGAGUGCGGGAGGGGUAAGCGGAAUUCCUAGUGUAGCGGUGAAAUGCGUAGAUAUUAGGAGGAACACCGGUGGCGAAGGCGGCUUACUGGACCGUAACUGACGUUGAGGCUCGAAAGCGUGGGGAGCAAACAGGAUUAGAUACCCGGGUAGUC
This 458-nucleotide ribosomal RNA is filed under the name uncultured bacterium. RNAcentral's name for it is "partial 16S ribosomal RNA". It matches the Rfam family "Bacterial small subunit ribosomal RNA", at positions 338 to 795 of the family's 1533-position model. The record is from RNAcentral.